CAGUCGCCGCGGGAAUACGUAGGUGGCAAGCGUUGUCCGGAAUUAUUGGGCGUAAAGGGCUCGCAGGCGGUUUCUUAAGUCUGAUGUGAAAGCCCCCGGCUCAACCGGGGAGGGUCAUUGGAAACUGGGAAACUUGAGUGCAGAAGAGGAGAGUGGAAUUCCACGUGUAGCGGUGAAAUGCGUAGAGAUGUGGAGGAACACCAGUGGCGAAGGCGACUCUCUGGUCUGUAACUGACGCUGAGGAGCGAAAGCGUGUGGAGCGAACAGGAUUAGAUACCCCCGUAGUCCCUGUCUCUUAUAC
Molecule: ribosomal RNA, 301 nt
Filed under: uncultured bacterium
Lineage: Bacteria
Description: partial 16S ribosomal RNA
Rfam family: Bacterial small subunit ribosomal RNA
Source: RNAcentral